UGGCUCAGUGGUUAAGAGCACUGACUGCUCUUCCAGAAGUCCUGGGUUCAAAUCCCAG
This 58-nucleotide transfer RNA is filed under the name Rattus norvegicus (Norway rat). It matches the Rfam family "tRNA", at positions 8 to 63 of the family's 71-position model. From Rfam's summary of the family: Transfer RNA (tRNA) molecules are approximately 80 nucleotides in length. The record is from Rfam by way of RNAcentral. Lineage: Eukaryota; Metazoa; Chordata; Mammalia; Rodentia; Muridae.